This 497-nucleotide ribosomal RNA is filed under the name uncultured bacterium. RNAcentral describes it as "partial 16S ribosomal RNA". It matches the Rfam family "Bacterial small subunit ribosomal RNA", at positions 28 to 507 of the family's 1533-position model. The record is from RNAcentral.
GACGAACGCUGGCGGCGUGCCUAAUACAUGCAAGUUGAGCGAUGAAGAUUGGUGCUUGCACCAAUUUGAAGAGCAGCGAACGGGUGAGUAACGCGUGGGGAAUCUGCCUUUGAGCGGGGGACAACAUUUGGAAACGAAUGCUAAUACCGCAUAAUAACUUUAAACAUAAGUUUUAAGUUUGAAAGAUGCAAUUGCAUCACUCAAAGAUGAUCCCGCGUUGUAUUAGCUAGUUGGUGAGGUAAAGGCUCACCAAGGCGAUGAUACAUAGCCGACCUGAGAGGGUGAUCGGCCACAUUGGGACUGAGACACGGCCCAAACUCCUACGGGAGGCAGCAGUAGGGAAUCUUCGGCAAUGGACGAAAGGCUGACCGAGCCACGCCGCGUGGGUGAAGAAGGUUUUCGGAUCGUAAAACUCUGUUGGUAGAGAAGAACGUUGGUGAGAGUGGAAAGCUCAUCAAGUGACGGUAACUACCCAGAAAGGGACGGCUAACUACGUG